RNAcentral lists this ribosomal RNA (454 nucleotides) under uncultured bacterium. Its description in RNAcentral is "bacterial SSU rRNA". It matches the Rfam family "Bacterial small subunit ribosomal RNA", at positions 43 to 524 of the family's 1533-position model. The record is from RNAcentral.
CAGGCCUAACACAUGCAAGUCGAACGAAGGCUUCGGCCUUAGUGGCGCACGGGUGCGUAACGCGUGGGAAUCUGCCCCUUGGUUCGGAAUAACAGUUGGAAACGACUGCUAAUACCGGAUGACGACGUAAGUCCAAAGAUUUAUCGCCGAGGGAUGAGCCCGCGUAGGAUUAGCUAGUUGGUGUGGUAAAGGCGCACCAAGGCGACGAUCCUUAGCUGGUCUGAGAGGAUGAUCAGCCACACUGGAACUGAGACACGGCCCAGACUCCUACGGGAGGCAGCAGUGGGGAAUAUUGGGCAAUGGGCGCAAGCCUGACCCAGCCAUGCCGCGUGCCGGAAGAAGGCCCUCUGGGUUGUAAACGGCUUUUGACGGGGAAGAAACGACUCUUGCGAGAGGCAUUGACGGUAUCCGCAGAAUAAGCACCGUCUAACUCCGUGCCAGCAGCCGCGGUAAU